UACGGAGGGGGCUAGCGUUGUUCGGAAUUACUGGGCGUAAAGCGCGUGUAGGCGGACCACGAAGUCGGGGGUGAAAGCCCGGGGCUCAACCUCGGUACUGCGUUCGAUACUGGUGAUCUCGAGAGAGGGAGAGGUGAGCGGAAUACCGAGUGUAGAGGUGAAAUUCGUAGAUAUUCGGAGCAACACCAGAGGCGAAGGCGGCUAACUGGACCAUUACUGACGCGGAGUCUCAAAAGCGUGGAGAACAAGCAGG
RNAcentral lists this ribosomal RNA (253 nucleotides) under uncultured bacterium. RNAcentral describes it as "partial 16S ribosomal RNA". It matches the Rfam family "Bacterial small subunit ribosomal RNA", at positions 524 to 776 of the family's 1533-position model. The record is from RNAcentral.